Long non-coding RNA from Numida meleagris (helmeted guineafowl), 3452 nucleotides. RefSeq lists it as uncharacterized. The transcript is spliced from 7 exons. The record is from RefSeq and is a predicted model, not a curated record. Lineage: Eukaryota; Metazoa; Chordata; Aves; Galliformes; Numididae.
AGGAGCGAAGACCGUCGUUACUACGGCAACAGCGUCCCGGCGGCAGGAGAAGGUGGAAGUAGAGUGGGGUGCUGCUGUUACGGGUGGCUCUGCUUCCCGCCUCCGCUGGGCGGCAGGUAACGCCUGCAGCUGCCGCACCCAGAGCCCGCCCGAAGCUCAGCAAGGAUAUGUGUCCGGGAGCAGCGGGGUCCGCUCGGAGUGACGCGGCAGAAAGGCCCCGUGUCGUCCGGCGGGAAGGGAAAGGGUGCCUCGGAGCAAGCGCGGACGUGGCUAAUGGCAUUGCCUUGUGGCUACCAAAAUUCUGAGUGCUGCUGCGCGGCUUUCUGCUCUGGAGGCCAGAACAAGGGGCUCUGCUGGGGCAGGCACUUCCUGCGAGCUCAGCAGCGGGCUGGGUGCUGCUGAGCCUUGUGCACUCACAGGAGUGAUGCUGCAGGCUUUGCUUUGGGGCUGUAGCAGGGCUAAGGAAAGGCAGCCUGGCAGCUGAAAGCCUCCGCUGUUGUGUUCAGUGGGAAUAAAGAAGUGAUUUUAGAAUGGGACCAUCACUUCUGCUGUUCUAUUAGCUGAGAGUUCUUUCACCUCUUCUUGGAGGUACUUGAUACAAAGUCUUUAUAUAGGAUGGAAAUGGGUCAGUAGUCUGUCCUAGAGCAUGUUAUGAUCACCAGAAUGACCUGUUCAUGGUGCAGAAGUAUGGGACAGAAGAGGAAGGAGCUUGUGUGUAUAUAAAUGUCUUGCACUUCCUUAUUUGAAGUGUUGCAGCUUGCGUUGUGCUUGUGGGCUCUCACCUGAUGGGGGAUUUCAGCCAUCUGGAUAUCUGCUGGGGAAGCAAUGCAACAGGCUGCAAGCGAUCCAGAAGAUUUCCUGGAGUGCACUGAGGACAACUUCCUGGUCCGAGUAUUAGACAAACCAAUGAGAGAAGUGUUACUGGACCUGGUGCUCACCAGUGCAGGGGAGUUCACUGAAGAGGUUAAAAUUGGAGGUGGUCUGAGCUGCAGCAACCAUACCCUGGUUGAGUUUGUGAUGUCAAGGAAUAAGGACCUGGUAAAAAGCAUUGUCAGGACCGUGAACUUCACAAGAGCAGAAUUCUAUCUGUUUAAGGAGUUAUUGGGUGAGAUCACCUGGGAAGCUGUCCUUAAGGACAGAAGAACAGAGCAUAGCUGGCACCUCUUCAAGGACUAUUUGCUAGGAGCACAAAAGCUUUCCAUGUCCCAGUGUAUGAAAUCAAUCAGGGCAGGCAGGAAACUGGCAUGGCUGAGGAAAGACUUGCUGGUCAAACUGAAGGCUAAGAAGUAAAUGCACAGGCUGUGGAAGCAGGGAUAUAUGGCCUAGAAAGAGUACAGGGAUGCCCUCUGGAUGUGUAGAGAUGUAAUCAGAAGGCCAAGGUGCAGACAGAACUGAACCUGUCAAGGGAUUGAAAAAUAACAAAAAAAAGAGAUUCUAUAGGUACACUGGUCAGGAGAGAAAGGCCAAGGAGACUGUACCCCCUCUGAUAAAUGAAAAGGGAGAAGUGUUAUCAACAAACAUGGAGAAGGCUGAGGUACUCAGUGAGUUCUUUGCCUCAGUCUUCACUGGCAGUCAGACUUCCCAUGUCUCUCAUAUCCCUGAACCUCUAAACAGAGGUUGAGGGAGCAAAAUUCCUCCCACUGUAAGAAAAGAGCAAGUUUGAGACCACCUGAUGAGACUGAAAGAGUACAAGUCUAUGGGGCUUGAUAACAUGUAUCCCAGUGUUCUGAAGGAAUUGGAUGAUGUAGUUGCCAAGCCACUCUCAAUCAUAUUUUAGAAGUCAUGGCUGACUGGUAGGGUAGACAGGAAGACCUGGGAAUUACAGAUCCGUGAACCUCACCUCUGUGCCUGGAAGGAUCAUGGAGCAGAUCCUCCUGGAAUCUAUGUCAAGACUUAUGCGAGUCAAGGAGAUGUUCCGAGACAGUUGUCAUGACUUCAUCAAGGGCAGAUCGUGCCUGACCAGUCUGGAGGCCUUCAGUGAUAGAGUGACAACAUCAGCGGACAAAGGAAGAGCAACUAAUGUUGCCUACCUGGACAUUCUGCAAGGUCUGUGAUGUGGUCCCACACCACAUCAUUAUCUCUAAAUUGGAGAGAUAUGGAUUUGAAGGGUGGACACCUCAGUGGAUGAAGAAUUGGUUAGAUGGUUGCAGCCAGAGCGCUUUAGUCAAUGGCUCUAUGUCCAGGUGGGGGCUGGUGACAUGUCGUCCCUUGGGUCUGUCUUGAAACCAGUGCUCUUCAACAUCUUUUAUCAAUGAUUUUAUGAAUGAUUGAGUGAAACCUCAGCAAGUUUGCAGAUGACACUAAACUGAGUGGUUGAUACAACAGAAGGAAGGGAUGCUGUCCAAAGGAACCUGGACAAGCUUGAGAAGUGGAGUCACAUAAACCUAAUGAGGUUCAACAAGUGCAAGGUUCUGCACCUGUAUCAGGGCAAUCUCAGCCAUACCACUUCCUUUCAUGUCCUAUAUUCUUGUAUAUUCUGAUAAUUCUGGUAUAAACCCAGGGGAGACCAUGGCCAGAGUGACAAAUAUGGAAGACUUCAGUGCCUUACACUCGUCUUCUCGAGGAGUCACAUUUACUCCAGGACCUCGCUUUAAGUCAAACAGAGCAUUCAACUGGCAGCACUCAAUUAAAUCAGCUGCAGCUACAUCUGUGAGCUCUGUCCUAGAUCCUGUGUUCUCCUCCCAGGACACUGGAUAGAUCUUCAAAAGACAACUGAAAAAGAAGAUGAACUGAAAAAAGCAUUUCAGAUGCUUGAUGUUGCUCGGAACCUGACAGUCAUAAAGGAUGAAUUCAGGAGAGUGAUCAAAACUUUUCCAUAUAACAAACGCUGAAUUUGAUGCUAUGCUGACAGAGGUUUGGACUGAAAGACACAGGUAAAAUUGGUGGCAAUAAUUUUUAGAAAAACUCAGAGAUCCUGGGAGCACCUUUGAAAACAGGCAGCCAAUUCCUAUGAGAAAAAAAAAAAAGUCUUCUCCCUGCUCAGGGCUGUCCCUGGGCCCAAGUAGAUCGCUGCCUCUUUCCGCCUACCACAGUCUCUUGUCAAAUGUGGUAGUUCCUAGAAAUGCUGAAUGCUAGAUGAUUUCCAUAUUGAUGAAACAACAAUCACAAGAAAUUACUUUUGGGAUUACAUUUUUACAUGUGUUUUGCAUUACAUUGUGUUUCAAGUUAAAGACUUCCAAGAGCUAAUCCAAAUAACUGAUCCAGAUCAGACUGGACACCUUCAAUAUCAUGAAUUUUUCAAUUCGUUUGAAGAAAAAGAAUCUGUGCUGUCUCUAGAAGCUUUUGGUUCAUCUUAAGCAUAUGGAAAAGAAAAAGUUGGUGGAAGAGAUAUAGUUGGUGGAUAGAAUCAUAGAAUCACCAAGGUUGGAAAAGACCUGCAAGAUCAUCCAGUUCUACUGCCUACCUAUUAUCAAUAGUUCCCACUAGACCAUGUCCCCAAGUACAAUGUCUAA